This 74-nucleotide transfer RNA is filed under the name Vibrio phage Seahorse. It matches the Rfam family "tRNA". From Rfam's summary of the family: Transfer RNA (tRNA) molecules are approximately 80 nucleotides in length. Their secondary structure includes four short double-helical elements and three loops (D, anti-codon, and T loops). Further hydrogen bonds mediate the characteristic L-shaped molecular structure. tRNAs have two regions of fundamental functional importance: the anti-codon, which is responsible for specific mRNA codon recognition, and the 3' end, to which the tRNAs corresponding amino acid is attached (by aminoacyl-tRNA synthetases). tRNAs cope with the degeneracy of the genetic code in two manners: having more than one tRNA (with a specific anti-codon) for a particular amino acid; and 'wobble' base-pairing, i.e. permitting non-standard base-pairing at the 3rd anti-codon position. Lineage: Duplodnaviria; Heunggongvirae; Uroviricota; Caudoviricetes. RNAcentral also lists the same sequence under 1 other name. The record is from Rfam by way of RNAcentral.
GCGCCAUUAGGUCAAUUGGAUAGACUAUCUGGCUUCUAACCAGACUGUUGCAGGUUCGAGUCCUGCAUGGCGCG